AAAUAUUCCAGUAGGCCUGAGGUCAAG
RNAcentral lists this non-coding RNA (27 nucleotides) under Homo sapiens (human). Lineage: Eukaryota; Metazoa; Chordata; Mammalia; Primates; Hominidae. The record is from RNAcentral.